CAUGGACCUUCACGACCCUGAAUUUCAAGGAGCCUUCAGCUCAGUAACCAGCGUGGCGGAGAAGGGUCUGAGAUCCAGAAGCUUGAGGAGGGGCAGAAAUUUGGUGUCUAGAGGAAAGAAAACUGUGAGGAUACCUGCUUUGGAUUGUCUUUGAAACCCAGGAAGUCACCAGAAGAAGUG
Molecule: long non-coding RNA, 180 nt
Filed under: Vombatus ursinus (common wombat)
Lineage: Eukaryota; Metazoa; Chordata; Mammalia; Diprotodontia; Vombatidae
Description: lncRNA (ENSVURG00010012959.1)
Source: RNAcentral